UACGGAGGAUGCAAGCGUUAUCCGGAAUGAUUGGGCGUAAAGCGUCCGCAGGUGGCUAUGUAAGUCUGCUGUUAAAGAGUCUAGCUCAACUAGAUAAAAGCAGUGGAAACUACAUAGCUAGAGUACGGUCGGGGCAGAGGGAAUUCCUGGUGUAGCGGUGAAAUGCGUAGAGAUCAGGAAGAACACCAGUGGCGAAGGCGCUCUGCUAGGCCGUAACUGACACUGAGGGACGAAAGCUAGGGGAGCGAAUGGG
This 253-nucleotide ribosomal RNA is filed under the name uncultured bacterium. Its description in RNAcentral is "partial 16S ribosomal RNA". It matches the Rfam family "Bacterial small subunit ribosomal RNA", at positions 524 to 776 of the family's 1533-position model. The record is from RNAcentral.